This 492-nucleotide ribosomal RNA is filed under the name uncultured bacterium. RNAcentral's name for it is "partial 16S ribosomal RNA". It matches the Rfam family "Bacterial small subunit ribosomal RNA", at positions 29 to 507 of the family's 1533-position model. The record is from RNAcentral.
AGUGAACGCUGGCGGUAGGCCUAACACAUGCAAGUCGAACGGCAGCACAGUAAGAGCUUGCUCUUACGGGUGGCGAGUGGCGGACGGGUGAGGAAUACAUCGGAAUCUACUUUUUCGUGGGGGAUAACGUAGGGAAACUUACGCUAAUACCGCAUACGACCUACGGGUGAAAGCAGGGGAUCUUCGGACCUUGCGCGAUUGAAUGAGCCGAUGUCGGAUUAGCUAGUUGGCGGGGUAAAGGCCCACCAAGGCGACGAUCCGUAGCUGGUCUGAGAGGAUGAUCAGCCACACUGGAACUGAGACACGGUCCAGACUCCUACGGGAGGCAGCAGUGGGGAAUACUGGACAAUGGGGGCAAGCCUGAUCCAGCCAUACCGCGUGAGUGAAGAAGGCCUUCGGGUUGGAAAGCCCUUUUGUUGGGAAAGAAAAGCAGCAGGUUAAUACCCCGCUGUUCUGACGGUACCCAAAGAAUAAGCACCGGCUAACUUCGUG